Long non-coding RNA from Podarcis raffonei (Aeolian wall lizard), 1833 nucleotides. RefSeq lists it as uncharacterized. The transcript is spliced from 2 exons. Lineage: Eukaryota; Metazoa; Chordata; Lepidosauria; Squamata; Lacertidae. The record is from RefSeq and is a predicted model, not a curated record.
UCUGUGGGGCACGUGACUCGCCCCGAGCCUCCCCGUUCGGUUCAAUGCAGGACGCGGCUUCUCCGUCUCCCCUGCCAUAAAAAAUCGCAAGGAUGCGCAAAAUGGCAGCGAAGCGCCCGCCGCUCCCGCUUCUCCUUUCCGUCCCCCAUGACGAGAGUUCGUGGGAAAGGCGUUGGAGAGCCGCUGCUGCUGCCCGUGCCCUGGAAAUGGCGGGCUGUCGGCGAAACAUCCCCCGUGUAUAUUUACCCCGAAGAAAAUCGCAAUAAGUUAAAUGGGACUUAAUGCCCCCACCCCACUUUCUGGGCCACCAUUUUUAUCUGUAAGCUGCCUUGAGUCCUUGGCAGGGAAAAAGGUAGAGAACAGCUGCCUGGCUGCUUGUGGAGCGACAAGAGAAACACGAGAACAGUGAUGACUAGGUGCUCAUUGCGGGCAGGUGGCGCUGUUACGUGAGUGAAUAUGGGGAAGAGUGUCAUAUCACCUAGGGAUUCUUGCAGUCCGCAUAUCUCAUCUUUGUCCUUCAUCUCCCAAUGAAAAGCUCCCAGGGUCUCCAUUCCAACUGCACCAGUUGUAGAACACAAGGUAGCCAUUUGCGACUUUGCUCAUCUUUUCUACAGUAGGGAGUUGCUCUGUAGUUUCAGUUUGUUCUGUUCCAUAUGCCCUGGUUCAUAUCCUGCACGCAUGAGCGUCGUGACUGUUUGGCCAGCAGCGGCAAUACCCAAAGACGAGUCUGCUAUUGUGCUCCUCGUUGCUUUCCCUGGGAUGUAGCGGAAGUUUGUAUGCAGUGGGGUUAUAGCGGCCACCAGGGCCUCUGCUUUUGCACAGUACAGAUUUACCCUAUAUCCCCUUGUACAAGGAAUACUCCUGCGGCCUCGCAGAUAAGGUAGUGAUGUUAAGCCAAUCCACAUUUUGUCCCUAUUCUGGUGGGAGAUACUCUGUGGCCUUGAGUGCUUUCCACGUCUUUCUUUCCUUGGGGGAGUUGGAGUAAGUGCAGGUGCCAUACUUUGAGGCAUGGUCUCCCCUUCCAUGCUUACCCGCGUGUCAUGGGGGAGUGCUUUGUUCUUAGACCACCAUUUGCAGGAGUGGAGAUUUUUAAUGGGUACAGUAAUACCUCCGUGACCAUCCGCCUUGUCUAGCGUCCAUUCUGGCGAACGUACACGGUAAACCCGGAAAUACUGGAAUGGGUUACUUCCGGAUUUGUUGCUUGUGCACGUGCAGAAGUGCAAACCGCUCCGUGCACAGACACAGCACUUUGCCCUGCGUCCUUUUCAGCUAGCGACCGGGGCUCCGGAACGGAUCCCAGCCGCAAGACAAGGUACGACUGUAUUAGUGUCCUGACAUGUGCUCACAGCAGCCUAAAGAACAAAAGAUGAACAGACUCUGGGCCACAACUAGGAUAGUCAUGUUUACAGACGUUGGACUUUACAUGUUGGCCUUUGGCAAUCCAAUAUGUGGCUGUGUGCUAGGACAGGCUUGCCUGCAUGUAGGCUCUGAACCAUUAUCUGAACCAUUACCUGCAGCAUUCUACUUUUUGUAACAACAUUUUAAGUUAAUGUGUUUUACAAUCUUCUUAUCCUUACAAUGACAUUGUCAAGCAGAUCAUAGUGCUGCUUGAACAUUAUAACAAAACAAACAGUACUAGUCUCUUAAAAAUACAGUGGCAUGAACUGUCUUGGGCUAGACUCCACUUCACUAGAUGCAUCAUUCUUAGUAACCCACAAAAGCAUAUUGUUACACUUGCCAGCUUUAAACUGCUGCUGGACUGUUGUCUUAUUUCUGGUGUAAGCCAUGGUUAGCUGGCUACCUCUUUGAUUAAAAGUGUACCAGAGUUGUGUA